RNAcentral lists this unclassified non-coding RNA (18 nucleotides) under Chlamydomonas reinhardtii. RNAcentral describes it as "small RNA Cre_1354". Lineage: Eukaryota; Viridiplantae; Chlorophyta; Chlorophyceae; Chlamydomonadales; Chlamydomonadaceae. The record is from RNAcentral.
CGGUGCAGACGUCUCGUA